This 328-nucleotide ribosomal RNA is filed under the name uncultured eukaryote. RNAcentral describes it as "partial 18S ribosomal RNA". It matches the Rfam family "Eukaryotic small subunit ribosomal RNA", at positions 1470 to 1796 of the family's 1831-position model. The record is from RNAcentral.
CCCUUAGAUGUCCUGGGCCGCACGCGCGUUACACUGAUGCAUUCAACGAGCUUAUAACCUUGGCCGAGAGGCCUGGGCAAUCUUGUUAACGUGCAUCGUGAUAGGGAUAGAUUAUUGAAAUUAUUAAUCUUGAACGAGGAAUUCCUAGUAAACGCAGAUCAUCAAUCUGCAUUGAUUACGUCCCUGCCCCUUGUACACACCGCCCGUCGCACCUACCGAUUGGAUGGUCCGGUGAAGCCUCGGGAUUGUGGUUCUUGCCGCUUUAUUGUGGCGUGACCGCGAGAACUUGUCUAAACCUUAUCAUCUAGAGGAAGGUGAANUCGUAACA